AAAGUCGAACGGAAGGCCCAUGCUUUUGUGGGGUGCUCGAGUGGCGAACGGGUGAGUAACACGUGAGUAACCUGCCCUUGACUUUGGGAUAACUUCAGGAAACUGGGGCUAAUACCGGAUAGGAGCUCCUGCUGCAUGGUGGGGGUUGGAAAGUUUCGGCGGUUGGGGAUGGACUCGCGGCUUAUCAGCUUGUUGGUGGGGUAGUGGCUUACCAAGGCUUUGACGGGUAGCCGGCCUGAGAGGGUGACCGGCCACAUUGGGACUGAGAUACGGCCCAGACUCCUACGGGAGGCAGCAGUGGGGAAUAUUGCACAAUGGGCGGAAGCCUGAUGCAGCAACGCCGCGUGCGGGAUGACGGCCUUCGGGUUGUAAACCGCUUUCGCCUGUGACGAAGCGUGAGUGACGGUAAUGGGUAAAGAAGCACCGGCUAACUACGUGCCAGCAGCCGCGGUGAUACGUAGGGUGCGAGCGUUGUCCGGAUUUAUUGGGCGUAAAGGGCUCGUAGGUGGUUGAUCGCGUCGGAAGUGUAAUCUUGGGGCUUAACCCUGAGCGUGCUUUCGAUACGGGUUGACUUGAGGAAGGUAGGGGAGAAUGGAAUUCCUGGUGGAGCGGUGGAAUGCGCAGAUAUCAGGAGGAACACCAGUGGCGAAGGCGGUUCUCUGGGCCUUUCCUGACGCUGAGGAGCGAAAGCGUGGGGAGCGAACAGGCUUAGAUACCCUGGUAGUSCACGCUGUAAACGGUGGGUACUAGGUGUGGGGUCCAUUUCCACGGGUUCCGUGCCGUAGCUAACGCUUUAAGUACCCCGCCUGGGGAGUACGGCCGCAAGGCUAAAACUCAAAGGAAUUGACGGGGCCCCGCACAAGCGGCGGAGCAUGCGGAUUAAUUCGAUGCAACGCGUAGAACCUUACCUGGGUUUGACAUGGAUCGGGAGUGCUCAGAGAUGGGUGUGCCUCUUUUGGGGUCGGUUCACAGGUGGUGCAUGGCUGUCGUCAGCUCGUGUCGUGAGAUGUUGGGUUAAGUCCCGCAACGAGCGCAACCCUUGUUCACUGUUGCCAGCACGUUAUGGUGGGGACUCAGUGGAGACCGCCGGGGUCAACUCGGAGGAAGGUGGGGAUGACGUCAAGUCAUCAUGCCCCUUAUGUCCAGGGCUUCACGCAUGCUACAAUGGCUGGUACAGAGAGUGGCGAGCCUGUGAGGGUGAGCGAAUCUCGGAAAGCCGGUCUCAGUUCGGAUUGGGGUCUGCAACUCGACAAUCAUGAAGUCGGAGUCGCUAGUAAUCGCAGAUCAGCAACGCUGCGGUGAAUACGUUCCCGGGGCUUGUACACACCGCCCGUCAAGUCAUGAAAGUUGGUAACACCCGAAGCCGUUGGCCUAACCGU
This 1379-nucleotide ribosomal RNA is filed under the name Cutibacterium acnes. RNAcentral describes it as "bacterial SSU rRNA". It matches the Rfam family "Bacterial small subunit ribosomal RNA". Lineage: Bacteria; Bacillati; Actinomycetota; Actinomycetes; Propionibacteriales; Propionibacteriaceae. The record is from RNAcentral.